This is a non-coding RNA of Sus scrofa (pig), 5581 nucleotides long. The record is from RefSeq and is a predicted model, not a curated record. NCBI's taxonomy places the organism in Eukaryota, Metazoa, Chordata, Mammalia, Artiodactyla, Suidae.
UUUGGUGUUGCCAUGGCUGUGGCAUAGGAUGCAGUUGUAGCUCGGAUUAGACCCGUGGCUCUCCCUGCAGGUGCAGCCAUAAAAGGAAAAAGAAAAACACACUCUAAAAUAUUUACCAGUGAAAUAAUAUAAUAUCUAGGGUUUGCCUCAAAAUAUUCAGAUAUAUUCAUAUAUCAUUUAUAUCAUUAAAAAGUAAAUAAAAUGCACUGCAAGUAAUUUUCUGUUAUGGAAUAUUCAUAAAACAUCAAAGAAAUUAAAGAAAUCCCAUUUACUAAGCUCUUGCCCUGUGCCAAGCAGAGAAGAGCAUCUACAUGAUCUCAUUUAUGUUCCAGACAACUCCAACAGGCAGGUGCUAUUAUCCCCAUUGUGCAGGUGACCAAUUGAAGCCCAGAUGGUUUCAGAGGUGAUAGAGUCAAUAUUCGAUUUAGGACUGAGUCUUUUCAGGAUACCCCAGCUCUUUCAAAAGAAAGCUUUGGGUAAAUCCUUCAUGGACAAAGAGAAACAGACCAGCUAUUUCCCAAAUGUGUAUGAAACAUACCCAAAGGCUCCUGGAAGCCUAAUGGUUCCGUAGAGCAUGGGACAUAUCAGUCUAUAUCUUCUAGGUUGGACUGCUCUGCCUGGAGUUCCCAAUGAAGGGAGAUCCCACUGAGUGGUUCUCCUUUAGGAGUGAUGGCUGGUUGGAUCAGAGUGGAUAUCCAGUAAUAUAAACCAGCCAAUAAACUGUCUGGCCAGCUACCAAAGAGUCUCUCUUUCUCUUAAGCAUUUAAACUAAAAAACUGAGAGGAUGUAGUUAGUCAAUCAUAAAUGUUGGAAAUAAAAGAUUAUGAUGUAGAGGAAGAGAUUCAUGCAGGAUGAAUAAGCAAAGUAGGUAGUAGUAGACUGGGAGAAAGAGAAAGAAUGAGGCAGACAUAAAAGAAGAAGCUGAGAUGAGGUGGCCCUAAAUCAUAACAGAGGGUCCUGGGUUCCCAGCCCUUGAAUUACUUUUGAAUGUACAAGAGGUGUCCUGUUAUAAUCUUACAAUUCUCCCCUUCCCUUUUCACUUGGGUAAAUUUGAGUGGAGGCCAUUCUUUGCCAACAAAAGAGCCUUAUCUAGAGCAAUUAGACAUCAUGGUCAGUUAAUUCUGUCAUUAGAUUUUAUUUCCAGGAUCAUUUCACAAAGAUCAACCCCCACUUGCUGCUCCCUGAAAGAAUGAGCUGUCAACUCUCAGUCGUGCUCAAGACACAAACUAGUUUACGCCCUGUUCCUUAAUUCUCCAUCACUUUCCUGCUUCCCUCCUUUCUUCAUGCCCAUUCCCAGAGUCUCCUUUCCUCUGAAUCUAAUCUUUCCAAAUUCCAGCUUAUAAUCAUCCUGAAGGUUUCCUGACCAAUGUAGGCCUCAAUAAUUUCCAUUUCUUCUCCCAACCUGCCUAAUUUUACUCUUGUUUUACACUUUUCAUGCACUGUCUUGUAUUUUUUGCUAGCUUUCCAUGCCAUGUCUUUUCUGUCUGACUUACUCAUGAAUUCCUAAGGUCAGAAGCUUACAUCUCUCUUCUCUUCUUUGUGUGUCACUAAAAAUGUUUUCGGUCCCCUGUUUUGCAUACCACUUAUUUCAAAGUAGAAGCUCAGCAAAAACUUGCUAAUGAAUUGAUGAAUAAUAUGUGAUUUGCAGACAUGUCUUUUAUUUUCAACCUCUCACAAACAAGUGCCAGCAAAUUCACUUUCACACACUUAGUAAGAAUCAUUCUGAAAAAUUCACUCCUCUGAUAAUAUGGGGCUGAAGACAACUGCUUCCCGCUUUUGAAAACAUCUGUGCUUCACUUUUCUUAUGCAAACAUUAGAAAGGUCAAAAAUGUUUUCCGCGCAAGAUUAAUGUGUCAGAGGGAUUCCUGGCAAGUAGAAGCAGCUGGCUCCCACACCCAGGGUUGGAAACCUUUGCCCACAGAAAGUGCAGGGAAGAGUAUGGUCAUGGUUGAAACUUGUACAUGGUGGGACCCCCACUUCUGCUGCCUAAGCUACAAGUAACAAGGAAUCCUCUGAUGUGGACUCAGUAACAGGAUCGGAAAACUGAGAAUAAUUUGCCCAGAGUCACACAGUUGACAAUCAGAAGAAUCAGGGCUCAAAUUCAGACAUCUCUUAAAUCGAAUUCAAUGCUUUUUAACCUAUCCUCACUAUGAACAGCGCUCUAUUAAAUGUGAAUCUUCAAAAUGUAAUAAAUUGAAGAAAUAAGAGAAAAAUAAAAUGAAAGAAAGGAGAGUUAUUAUUUAAUAAGUAUGGAGUUUCAGAUUUGGAAGAUGAAAAAAUUCUGGAGAUGGAUGGUGGUGACAAAUGUACAACAAUGGGAAAACACUUAAUGUCACUAAAUUGUAAGCUUUAAAAUUAUUAAAAUGGUAAAUUUUAUUUUAUGUAUUUUUUUGCCACAAUAAAAUUAAGAAAGGAAUGAAGGAAGUAAGGAAGGGAGGAAGGAAAGGAGGAAGGAAGAGAAGAAGGGAAACUUUGGGGGUAUUUUAAGAACCAGUUGGAAAAGUUUGCUUUGAGUCAGCAAAGACACUGUCAAGGAAGAUUGGUCUAUAGGCAGUUUGUUCAUUUGAAUAACUUUUUUCAGUUGAAGAAUUCAACAUAAAAGUGUUAACAGCUCAUUGCAAAAUUUUAGAGAGACAAUUCUUUAAAAAAAAGAAGAAAAAAAAAUCCAUAAGUUUUACAAGUGAUAUUUUGAUAUAUUUUCUUCCAAUUUUCCCUUUCUCUUUUGUACAGAAUCCAGAUCAUACAAUUUUGUAUCUUUUUAAAGGAUCUUUAGCCUAAGUGGUUCCUCCUCAAGAUACCCAUGACCCCUCUAGCCAGCAGGUGGCACUCUGCAGAUGUCAACUGGCCUUUCUGGGCACCAUGUCCACUUAACUCCAAGGAGCCACGGCGGUCAUUAGAGUGCAAUGUCCUUGCUUUCACAGAUGCCUCCUAGGAUUAGCUCCAGCACAGUGCAUCCUGGGUAAAUGAAACAAAGCAUCCCCACUCCUCAAACACUAGCACUUUUAAUUCCUCUGUGGCCCAGCAGGUUAAGGAUCUGGAGUAGUUGCUGCAGGGGCUUGGGUGGUUGCUGUGGCACCAGUUCGAUUCCUGGCCCGGGAACUUCUAAAUACCAUGGGUAUGGCAAAAAACAAAACAAAACAAAAAAACCCCAUAUCUUAAGCACUUACUUUUGCAUGGCCCUGUACUAGGUACAGAGGCAGUCAAGAGAGGCAUAAGCCCUGGACACUCUGACAUUUUUUUUUUCAUUCCAUCUUGGAAACUAUAAAGGCUCAUUUACCCUGGGUUACAGGACUGUGUUUCCUUCCUUCCUUCCUUUCCCUUUUUAAUGGCUGCACCCACAGCAUGCGAAAGUUCUCUUCGUGGGAUUCAAUCUGAGCCACAGUUGCAGCAAUGCCAGAUCCUUUAACCCACUGCCCCUGGCCAGGGAUCAAACCCUCACCUUCACAGCAAACCAAGCUGCUGCAAUUAGAUUCUUAACUCACUGCACCACAGCGGGAAUUCCAACUCUCAGUUUCUUAAGGGUUGGGUCGUUUGUUCAUUUUUUGCCUGCUUUAUUUAUUGAACAAAUAUAUAAUUAGAACCAAAAAAAAUGUAGAAUUGUGCACCCCAUUUGUCUAUCCUUAAACGUCUUACUUUCAGAUAAGGAAAUGGGCUGAGGAUGCUCAAGCCAUGCUCCCAGCCAGACGCUCCUCCUAAAUCACUCUGGACACCAUCGUAUUAGGCUUUUCCCAAGAGAUCUCCUGUGACUCAAACACUUCCGAUUUCUCUAACCGUCUCAAGCCCAGAAGAACCCCUGGGGGUAUUGAGGAAAUGAUUCUCCAUGAGCACAAUUUCCCUUUUUAGCAAUUUUAAGGUGGCUUGCUUACAUGAGCCUAUCAUGAAAAGACUUUACAGGAGGCGGUGGUGCGUGAUGGUGGACCAUGAGGAGGAGGUAGUGAGAAGCACAGCGUUGAUGUCUAUCUUCACUUCCCCAAGAGGAAGGCCUGCCCCAUGCCAACCUCCCAUGAGAACUGGAAUCGACCUAAGCCUGGGUUUAAAACUCUCAUUUUCUUCAUUUAAACAACUGUUCGUGUCACAGAGGACCCAGGGGAAGACACAUGGCUUAAGGACGCUGCCUUGACUCUCAACUUUUCGAUGAUCCAAAAGCUAAUGUGCCUCCUAUGAUUGAUGUGCCAUAAAGCAUCACACAGCCGAAUGAUCUGUAUUUAUGAUAUCCCCUAGGAAGUCCGUCCUGGCUCACUGAACAGGGGUCAUAGAUUCCCCCCAGGUUCCACUCCAUUUAAAUAGGACUCUCUCUGCUAAAUGACCACCUCAGCAAGUGUGCACACACCACUACAUCAAGAAUAGCAAACUACGGCCCGCCAGCCAAACCUGGCCUUCUGCCUAUUUUCAUACAGCCCAUGAGCUAAGAGUGGUUUUGACAUUUUAAAUUGUUGGGGGAAAAAAUCAGAAGAAGAUUUCGUGGCGUGUGAGAAUUACAUGAAAUUCACACUUCAGUGUCCAUAAAUAAGGUUUUACUGAAAUUCAGCCAUGACCCCUUGCUUACAUGGUGUCUAUGGCUGCUUGUGCACUACAGCGGCGGAGUUGAGUAGUUGCAACAGGGACCUCGUGGUCCACGAAGCUGAAAAUAUUCACUAUAUGGCACUUUGCAGAAAAAGCAUCCUGGCCAAUGUGCACUGAACGUGUGACCAGGGCUCACGUUUCCAUUGUUCUCUGCCUGUCCACACUGAAGCUGCUUGUUCCUUCUUUGGAUGGAGGAAAGCCUGUCUCUCAUUUCACAUAGCACUGCCUGUUAGGCUUAUUAAUUUGUGACAGUGCAGAUGACAGGCCACUAAGCUCUGCUGCUGGUCUUCCAGUAUUAAACACUCAUGGCUUAGGAUGCUUAGUCAAUUUAUCAGCACAUUUAAAUACUAGUUUAGUAUCUCAGGCUCUGCUUGACACUCUGGAUAUCAAAGUUCCCAGCCAUUACGGAUUUAAAAUCUGGUUGAGGGAAUAAGCUACCCAGGUGAAGCCCUUAAAGAACAAGGGAAUGAUACUCGCACAGGUAUAUUCCUCUUUGUGGAGCACUCAGAGCAGAAGAUACCAGGCCGGUAGAUGAAGUCUGCCAUCAGGGUACAGACAUAUGAGGACAUGCUUGAUUACAAACCUGCUUUAUAUAUAAUUAUGGAAUCCAAAACUUAGGUGUCUGCAAGUCCCAUUUCCUUAACUUAAAGAAGAGGGAACUGGUGCCCACAGAGGUGCCACAGCUGGUUAGUUGAGAACCAAGACUAGAAUCAGAUCUGCAAGUCAGUUAUAUUUGUCUGCAGCACUUCAGAUUCACAGGCUAUUUAAAGCACAAGUGAAGAAUGCUUAAAACUAAAUAUUGACUACAUUUAUCUUCAUCCUGUAGCAUAUGUAUAUAGUCCUGAAGCCAUCAUUUUAGCUUUCAAUUUCACCUCGUGCUGACAAUCUAGGAAGGAAAAGAUGCCAAAUUCUGAUCUUUCUGCUCUUCUGUGAUGUUUCCAAUUAUUCAAAGUGGGAGGGGAAAUGAAAAGAUAAUAAGGAAUUUUUUUUUUUUUUUUUUUGCUUUUCAGGGCCCCAC